This 465-nucleotide long non-coding RNA is filed under the name Ursus maritimus (polar bear). RNAcentral's name for it is "lncRNA (ENSUMAG00000014534.1)". The record is from RNAcentral. Lineage: Eukaryota; Metazoa; Chordata; Mammalia; Carnivora; Ursidae.
CUCGCAAAGGCCACGCCCCGGAAGUCCCCGCCCCUAACCAGCCUCCGCUUCCUCGAUGCCCACCCGGUGGCUUCCAGCAGCUCCUCCAACUAGGAGUCUCUUUUGCUUCCAGGCCUUUCCGGGAGAUUUCUUUAAUGUUUGACUUAACAGAAGACAGAUGGAUUCUCACAUCUGCUUAUGCUUUCAAGAUAUUAUGAGAUAUUGUCUUGAUUAUGUGAAGAAAAUGCCUCACACAGAGACAGCCAGCGAGAGAGGGAACACAAGCAGGGGGAAUGGGAGAGGAAGAAGCAGGCUCACAGCAGAGGAGCCCGAUGUGGGACUCGAUCCCGGAACGCCGGGAUCAUGCCCUGAGCCGAAGGCAGACGCUUUAACGACUGCGCUACCCAGGCGCCCCUUUUUUUUUUUUUAAAGAUUUUUUUUUAUUUUAAACAUUUAAUAAAGACUGUAUUUAAGAGCUGGCUUGCA